GUGCUCACUUCGGCAGCACACAUACUAAAAUUGGAAUGAUACAGAGAAGGUUAGCAUGGUCCCUGCGCAAGGAUGACACUCAAAUCCAUGAAGCAUUCUAUAAAAAA
This 107-nucleotide small nuclear RNA is filed under the name Tupaia belangeri chinensis (Chinese tree shrew). The record is from RNAcentral. Lineage: Eukaryota; Metazoa; Chordata; Mammalia; Scandentia; Tupaiidae.